This 80-nucleotide small nucleolar RNA is filed under the name Zalophus californianus (California sea lion). Its description in RNAcentral is "Small nucleolar RNA R38 (ENSZCAG00015025087.1)". It matches the Rfam family "Small nucleolar RNA R38". From Rfam's summary of the family: snoR38 is a C/D box small nucleolar RNA conserved across yeast, human, Arabidopsis and rice. RNAcentral also lists the same sequence under 1 other name. The record is from RNAcentral. Lineage: Eukaryota; Metazoa; Chordata; Mammalia; Carnivora; Otariidae.
CUGAGUUCAUGAUGAUCUAAAGUUAUCCCUGUCUGAAGGCAAAGAAGCCUUUCUGUGGAAUAUGGAUGUCUGAAACUCAG